Molecule: ribosomal RNA, 516 nt
Filed under: uncultured Vibrio sp.
Lineage: Bacteria; Pseudomonadati; Pseudomonadota; Gammaproteobacteria; Vibrionales; Vibrionaceae
Description: bacterial SSU rRNA
Rfam family: Bacterial small subunit ribosomal RNA
Source: RNAcentral
UGGGGAAUAUUGCACAAUGGGCGAAAGCCUGAUGCAGCCAUGCCGCGUGUAUGAAGAAGGCCUUCGGGUUGUAAAGUACUUUCAGUUGUGAGGAAGGGGGUGUCGUUAAUAGCGGCAUCUCUUGACGUUAGCAACAGAAGAAGCACCGGCUAACUCCGUGCCAGCAGCCGCGGUAAUACGGAGGGUGCGAGCGUUAAUCGGAAUUACUGGGCGUAAAGCGCAUGCAGGUGGUUCAUUAAGUCAGAUGUGAAAGCCCGGGGCUCAACCUCGGAACUGCAUUUGAAACUGGUGAACUAGAGUACUGUAGAGGGGGGUAGAAUUUCAGGUGUAGCGGUGAAAUGCGUAGAGAUCUGAAGGAAUACCAGUGGCGAAGGCGGCCCCCUGGACAGAUACUGACACUCAGAUGCGAAAGCGUGGGGAGCAAACAGGAUUAGAUACCCUGGUAGUCCACGCCGUAAACGAUGUCUACUUGGAGGUUGUGGCCUUGAGCCGUGGCUUUCGGAGCUAACGCGUUAA